This 88-nucleotide transfer RNA is filed under the name Deltaproteobacteria bacterium. RNAcentral describes it as "tRNA-Ser". It matches the Rfam family "tRNA". From Rfam's summary of the family: Transfer RNA (tRNA) molecules are approximately 80 nucleotides in length. Their secondary structure includes four short double-helical elements and three loops (D, anti-codon, and T loops). Lineage: Bacteria; Pseudomonadati; Myxococcota; Myxococcia. RNAcentral also lists the same sequence under 1 other name. The record is from RNAcentral.
GGAGAGGUGACCGAGUGGACGAAGGUGCACGACUGGAAAUCGUGUGUACAGCAAUGUACCGUGGGUUCGAAUCCCACCCUCUCCGCCA